UACGAAGGGGGCUAGCGUUGCUCGGAAUCACUGGGCGUAAAGCGCACGUAGGCGGAUUGUUAAGUCAGGGGUGAAAUCCUGGAAGCUCAACUCCAGAACUGCCUUUGAUACUGGCGAUCUCGAGUCCGGGAGAGGUGAGUGGAACUGCGAGUGUAGAGGUGAAAUUCGUAGAUAUUCGCAAGAACACCAGUGGCGAAGGCGGCUCACUGGCCCGGUACUGACGCUGAGGUGCGAAAGCGUGGGGAGCAAACAGG
Molecule: ribosomal RNA, 254 nt
Filed under: uncultured bacterium
Lineage: Bacteria
Description: partial 16S ribosomal RNA
Rfam family: Bacterial small subunit ribosomal RNA
Source: RNAcentral